Molecule: non-coding RNA, 861 nt
Organism: Pelobates cultripes (western spadefoot toad)
Lineage: Eukaryota; Metazoa; Chordata; Amphibia; Anura; Pelobatidae
Source: the annotation of a GenBank genome assembly
CGGAAAGCUUAAUCUAAGUAACUGUUGUCUGCACAUAGAUGAUGAAGGGCAGGCAGUGGCUGAACUUACAAGCCACAUGGUUAAAUUUGUGCAUGUACCUACUCAGGUCUGGAAUGGGUAUAACCUAAGUAGUUGGUUUGGAAGUUGGUAUGAGCAGCUUGGAGGAAUUAAGACAUUAGUAGGAGGAGUAGUGUUUAUCAUAUUCUUAUGUCUUUUUCUGCCCUGUCUAAUUCCAUUAGUGGUCAGGUCCCUACGUAGUAUUAUAGAGAGUACUAUAGAGAGAAAGACAGCUGCCCAUGUAAUGGCUGUCUGGAAGAUAUGAUCCCCUAGCCCGAAGAGAAUAUAUUCAGGAUGAAGAAUGUUGAAGGAAUUUUUAAGAUGCUUACAAGGUCUACUUUGGUUCAAUGGCUACUUGAGAGAUGUAGGUAAAACUGUGAUUGGUGAUGCAUCUGGAAUAAUGUUAUAUCAGAGGCAUCAAAGGGGGGAAUGUGAUGGGAUUCCAGCAUGGUCAAAAUUUAGUAGGCCAAAAUCUCCAUGUGGCAUAUGUGUAUGUUGUGUCAGUUGGUUAGCUACAUGUAGCUAGGAUACUGUCAUCAGUGUACUGAGCAUGUGCAGGAAUGCAGGAACUGGAAUUGCACUUAUUUCCUUUUGUCUUGGAUGAGCCAUGUGGUUUGACUAGAUGUACAAGUCUAUAUUCUGCUCAUUGAUUGGUUAAAGGUAUAUGUGGGUGUAGCUAUUAAUGGGAGGCGUUAUAGUGCUAUAUAAGGAAUGUACACUAUGUGUUGGUCUCUCAGAAUGUUGGAACAGGAGUUCAUCUGAGACCCGAUCGGUAAUGUGAAUAAAGGCCUGUUACUUCCUGAA